UGUAUGUAAGUUCCAUUUUUUUUCACUUGGCUUUAAACAGAGGAAUAGGCUUUCCAAGUAAUCUUGCUGUAAAAAUUCUACAUUAAAAAUUGUUUGCUUGAAUGUGUAUUUUUUCAGACUGUCAGAAAAGGAGUAAAUUCAACCCUGUCUGUCUUCAUGUCCCAAGGACAGCCUUAGUUACAUUUUGUUCUCAAUUGUUUAGCUAUGAUAGUAGAUAGUAAAACAGGUAUCUGAUAGAGUAUAUCCUGUAAGAGAGACAGUCAUUUAUAUCGAUUCUCAUGACUUAUGAACAUCAUAACUUCAGUUGAUGUAUAUAUAUACCAGUGACUAGGUAUAUGUAACAAAAUACUGCUCAAAGCACAAAAAAGAGACUUCAGAGUUGAAUUUCAGUGAACAAAAUAGAUUUUGUAGUGGGCUGAAUAGAGAUUUGUUUUUCUAAAGAAUGCUAAUAGUUGUUACAGUAGGAAAAAGAGCAGAAACACUUGCUACUUUAAUAUUAGUGUCCUGUUCUAAAAGGUAAGCCUGUACUUGAAAACUCUCAAGUACAUGAACAAGAAACAGGACUACACAGCCCAGUGCUGCAAAAGUAAAGGACUGGCACAAUAUCUGUCAUUAACAGUAUGCAAAAAGAAGUCACUGAAAUAGCUGUCUGUGAAUGCAGGGAUGCUUCAUCCUGCAUCACCAGAAGUAAAAAUAAAAAGAGAGUUUUUUAUUUAAUUGACUAUAAAUACAGUUAAAGUCCCACAGUCCCAUAGGUUCAGCACCUUCAUCAGGAAAGGCAGAAAAGAAGCUCCAUCUGGUGGUGUGGUUGAUUGUAAUUGCUUUUCAAUUUCAUCUAAUUAUAAAUACAUUCCUCUUCCGCAACAAAAUGAAAAAUUGAAGUAACGUGUAAAAGAUCACCUGUUGUGCAAGUGGAACCAGCAUUGUCUAACACUUUAAGAUCGGAAAACACUCUAAAAUUGGGAUCUUCUUCUAUAUGAAGCAAAUCAGUUGAAGCCUUUCAGUACAAGGCACAAAUGAUCCUGUUAGGGUACUAAUCUAGGAUAGAAACAGAUCAUCAAACAAAAAUGGAAGGGUGCAUUAGCACACUUAAAGAGGUGACCUGCUGCACUCUGGGGUGGGGAGAAGAGAAUGCAGAAAUCACUGGUUAAAGAAUGGAGGAGGUGUGUGGAUAUGAAGUCAAGGUUGCUGCUGAACCUGCCACAUAAAAGCUUAUGGAAUAUUUACAGAGGUAUUAAAAAGAAUGUUGCUGUCUCAUAAUAAGGAAAUAAACCAUUCUUUAGUUAGUAUUUUUUAUAAGAAAUUAAGUUUUCUUCAAUGAGUAAAUGUCAAUUUUGUUGAAAAGAUGCUACUUCCUGUCUUGAAAAAAAAAUCUUGAACUGUUCUAGCUAUAAUUGAUUUGCAACAUCUUACUAUGAAAAACAAAGUAGAUGCUUGAAUCAAUUUAUGUAGUAAAAUGACUAAAUUUUAUGAAGCUGUUUUCUUCUUCUCUGCCUCCACUAUAUUCUUAUUGCCUGAGCUGUGAAAAUUGUAGACAUGGACAAAAUCAAUAAAGGAACCUGGAUGCACAGAACAGCUUAGCAAAAAUAAAAGAUCAGUCUGACCAACACCUAUACUGGCUAUUUGUGAACAAUUGCUGAACAAAAUGCUGGUGGCCAGGUAAAAUAAUUUAACCUAAGCUAAUAAAUAAUUUCAGCUAGUAUUUAAUUGCAAAUAUCUGUGUACAUGCAACAUCUGAGUAAUUUCAGCAGUCACUGCUUUGCAGGGUUGGGAGACACAUUACCCCAAGCUGAUGUUAUAAAAUGUUAUAAGCAUUGUAAAAUAUAAACCUAAUUGGGUAAAUGAUGCUAGGUGUAACCACUGAAAUUCUAUGCCUCGUUUCACAUAUAAACUCAUGUCUGAUACUGCUCCUUCAAGAACCCACGGCAAUUUCUCUCAAGACAGUAUUCUAGCCCACGUUUGUGCUAAAACCCAGCAAUCUUAAACACAGAUAUACAUAAACCUUGUCCUGCAAACUCAGUAAAAAAAAAAAAAAAAUACAGUUUGUCUACUCUUUUGUAGUGCCCACAUUUCAGUGGGCAGUAUGCUGCAUUUCAUCAAAUCAAUGCAUCAUUACCUUUUUUUUAAAGAGCAGAACAGAGUUUAGUAUUAAUUACCCACCAAAAAAAAAAAAAUCCAUGUUGAAAGAAUGAUGGGAAUACAGAUUCAACUAAAAAUUGCCUGAAGUCACACUGCCUUUAUAACCUUAAUGGAGCCCUUUUUUUUUUUUUUUUUUGAGCGUAUCACUUAGGUUACAGCCUUUAAUUAUGCAUUUUAGGCCAUUUUUGUCUCAAGACUAUCUCAUUAAGCACACAAGAUAGACAGCUACUCAGUGGUGUUGUCACUGCUUUUCUCUAUACUGCUUGAAGUGUAGCUGUAGGCCUUACUUACUGAACAGUAUUCCAGUCCUGCUCCAGAGAUGUGACUGGAUUUCCUCACAGGAUCUCAAAUUGUGCUCAGCACCACAGUAUCUUCAAGUGCCUCCAAAAUAGUAGACUACUAUGAGAUGAAGUAUUCCUGAUUUUACCAUUAGAGAGCUGAGCUGCAGAAAGGCCAAGCAGAAGGACUCAACUCACUUCAGUUUGAAAAUACUUCACAAAGAAGCCACUCCUUGUAAGGAGUUCAAAAACAAUUCAGUUGAAAGAAGAAAGUUUGUUUCCAAAACAAAGAUGUUCUUGAAGAA
Empidonax traillii (willow flycatcher) is the source of this 2722-nucleotide long non-coding RNA. RefSeq lists it as uncharacterized. The transcript is spliced from 2 exons. Lineage: Eukaryota; Metazoa; Chordata; Aves; Passeriformes; Tyrannidae. The record is from RefSeq and is a predicted model, not a curated record.